Molecule: ribosomal RNA, 253 nt
Filed under: uncultured bacterium
Lineage: Bacteria
Description: partial 16S ribosomal RNA
Rfam family: Bacterial small subunit ribosomal RNA
Source: RNAcentral
UACAGAGGGUGCUAGCGUUGUUCGGAAUCAUUGGGCGUAAAGGGCGUGUAGGCGGUUUGUUGAGUCAUGUGUGAAAUCCCUCGGCUCAACCGGGGAACGACGCAUGAAACUGGCAAGCUAGAGUACCAAAGAGGGGGGUGGAAUUCCCGGUGUAGCGGUGAAAUGCGUAGAUAUCUGGAGGAACACCGGUGGCGAAGGCGGCAUCCUGGACCAACACUGACACUGAGGAGCGAAAGCCAGGGGAGCAAACGGG